ACUACAUGAGACUCUGGCAGUUUUGAUCAGAACAUGGAUAUUAUCAUUAAACAAGGCCUCCUCAGAUUGUCAGUCUUUUUGCUGUGGACUACAGGUCUAAUUGAUGGGAGUGAUGUCACGCAGACACCAAUACUGUGGAAAGACAAAGGUGAAAACGCAACAAUAGAAUGCAACCAAACCAAGGGUUUUGACUACUUCCAGAUGUACUGGUACAGACAGCUGCCAGGACAAAAUAUGAACCUAGUAGUGUUCACAUCAACAGUCAAAAAAGAUCAUGACUUUGAACCUCCAGGCAAAAAGAAAUUCUCAGCCACAAAACCUGAUGCUCAGAGUGGGACGUUGACAGUGAAGAAUCUGGUGCCAGAAGAUAAAGGCUUGUAUUUCUGUGCCGUUAGUAAACACAGUGAUACAGACACAUCUCUGCUCUGUAUUGCAGAAACUGGCUUCAGUGAGGAGAAAUUUCCAGCAAAGAAGAGCGAAGCUCAGACUGGAUCUUUGACGGUGGUGAAACUGCAGCCUGAGGACAGUGGAGCGUUUUUUUGUGCUGUGAGUGGACACAGUGAUACAGGUGACUUGGACAGCUGCACAAACACCCAACUACCGGUUGAUAAAAGACAACGGUCUCUUUGA
Xiphias gladius (swordfish) is the source of this 630-nucleotide non-coding RNA. NCBI's taxonomy places the organism in Eukaryota, Metazoa, Chordata, Actinopteri, Istiophoriformes, Xiphiidae. The record is from the annotation of a RefSeq genome assembly.